GGAAUAUUGGGCAAUGGGGGAAACCCUGACCCAGCAAUGCCGCGUGAAUGAAGAAGGCCUUCGGGUUGUAAAGUUCUGUGACAGAGGACGAAGAAAUGACGGUACUCUGAGAGGAAGCUCCGGCAAACUACGUGCCAGCAGCCGCGGUAAUACGUAGGGAGCGAGCGUUGUCCGGAAUUACUGGGCGUAAAGGGCGCGUAGGCGGGUUGGUAAGUUGUAUGUGAAAUCCCCGGGCUCAACCCGGGACGUGCAUACAAAACUGCCGAUCUUGAGUGCGGUAGAGGGAAGUGGAAUUCCUAGUGUAGCGGUAAAAUGCAUAGAUAUUAGGAGGAACACCGGUGGCGAAGGCGACUUCCUGGGCCGUAACUGACGCUGAGGCGCGAAAGCGUGGGGAGCAAACA
Molecule: ribosomal RNA, 401 nt
Filed under: uncultured bacterium
Lineage: Bacteria
Description: bacterial SSU rRNA
Rfam family: Bacterial small subunit ribosomal RNA
Source: RNAcentral